This 334-nucleotide long non-coding RNA is filed under the name Olea europaea subsp. europaea. The record is from RNAcentral. Lineage: Eukaryota; Viridiplantae; Streptophyta; Magnoliopsida; Lamiales; Oleaceae.
AAUUUGACCAAGUAAACGAGCAUGAAAAGAAUUGAAAUUUCGAUUUUACUCGUCCCAUGUGUAUUUGAUGUGUAUUACACCCGUCUCAUAGUUUAAUUUCUUUCCUCGAAACCAUCACGAUCCCACCUUACUAGAUAUAUCAUAAAAAGGCUCAAUCAACUUAUAAUAAAUAAUUUUAGUAUUUUUCGUAACAUAAAAGGCAGGGCCACCUUAUGUUUAGUAGUACAAUAAUUACAAAUCAAGCAGUCAAAUUAAAAUAUGAAGAGCAGCAACCCAGAAAAUUGGCUUCACAAUCACCCGUCUGCUGCACAAAAUUCUCAACCACACCCCUCCU